GCGCGUAUAGCAUAAGCUCUAGCAGGAGCACGAGCCUCAGAUCUGGUUGUAGCAUCUCUAGAUCCUCUCUGACCGCCACUAGCAUUCCCCGUAUUUCUAGAUGGUCUACCCUGAGCAGUAGUAGCACCUGGUUUACCACUCUGAUUUACAUUUUGUUCAGACAGUCUCGGGCAAUCCUUGAUAAAAUAGUCUCCUGAUCCGCACUUAUAACAGGAGCGGUCAUGGAAUCUAAAACUCCCCGAAUGCCAUUUACCACAAUACUGGC
RNAcentral lists this long non-coding RNA (265 nucleotides) under Gossypium barbadense (sea-island cotton). RNAcentral's name for it is "long non-coding RNA (GBAR_LNC004576)". Lineage: Eukaryota; Viridiplantae; Streptophyta; Magnoliopsida; Malvales; Malvaceae. The record is from RNAcentral.